ACUGAAUUUAACUAAAUACUUACUAAAUAUUAAUGGUAGUUAGUAUUCUUUCCACCCUCAUUAUUAGUGAUGCUUAUUUAUCUGUUCAAUUUAAAAAAUGAUAAAGGCAAAUUUUUAUAACUUAUAGCCAUAGUAAUGACUAAUGACUUAUCCCUUGUCAUUUGCUAUGUUACUAAUUAUUAUUUAUUAGUAUAAAAUUACAAAAUGAAUUUUUAUUUUUUAAUUUAUUUAAAUAAAACAAGACUGAUUGUAUUAUCCUUCGUCUUGGUGAUGCCUAUGUUCAAUAUUGCAAUGGAUCAAAUGCUUAACGGAGGUAAAUUAUCUAAAUGAACAGUUGCCUUCGGUGCUCACACAAUUUCGUCUGAGUUCCACCCUCUAGUGUUCAUACAAUCUCAAUUAACAUAUCAUUUCUGUUCUAUUAGUUACUGUCAAUUUAUUUAUAAAUAGUAGUUUAUAAUUGUUAACCUCUGUCUUGGUGAUGCCUAUGUUCAAUAUUGCAUUGGAUCAAAUGCUUAACAGAGGAAUAUUAUAUAAAAAAUGAAUAGUUGCCUUCGGUGCUCACACAUUUUCGUCUGAGUUCCACCCUCUAGUAUUCAUACAAUCUUAAUUUUAUGGUUAAAAUUAUUAAUUCAUAACAUUUAUUAAAUAUUAUAUUUUAAAAUUUAUGAAACAUCUUCUGUCAUAGUUGAUUUUUACUUAUUGAAUUUUGUGAAUUAAUCAAAAUAAAUAGUAGAUAUUUUUAUUAACCCUCUGUCUUGGUGAUGCCUAUGUUCAAUAUUGCAAUGGAUCAAAUGCUUAACAGAGGAAUAUUAUAUAGAAAAUGAACAGUUGCCUUCGGUGCUCACACAUUUUCGUCUGAGUUCCACCCUCUUAUGUUCAUAUAGUUUCA
Long non-coding RNA from Aphis gossypii (cotton aphid), 889 nucleotides. RefSeq lists it as uncharacterized. The record is from RefSeq and is a predicted model, not a curated record. The transcript is spliced from 2 exons. Lineage: Eukaryota; Metazoa; Arthropoda; Insecta; Hemiptera; Aphididae.